This 255-nucleotide ribosomal RNA is filed under the name uncultured bacterium. Its description in RNAcentral is "partial 16S ribosomal RNA". It matches the Rfam family "Bacterial small subunit ribosomal RNA", at positions 524 to 776 of the family's 1533-position model. The record is from RNAcentral.
UACGUAGGGUGCGAGCGUUAAUCGGAAUUACUGGGCGUAAAGCGUGCGCAGGCGGUUUUGUAAGCCAGGUGUGAAAUCCCCCGGGCUCAACCUGGGAAUGGCAUUUGGGGACUGCAAGGCUGGAGUGCGGCAGAGGAGACUGGAAUUCCUGGUGUAGCAGUGAAAUGCGUAGAUAUCAGGAGGAACACCGAUGGCGAAGGCAGGUCUCUGGGCUGACACUGACGCUCACGCACGAAAGCGUGGGGAGCAAACAGG